Molecule: transfer RNA, 72 nt
Filed under: Benthomangelia sp. JEU-2016
Lineage: Eukaryota; Metazoa; Mollusca; Gastropoda; Neogastropoda; Conidae
Description: tRNA-Trp
Source: RNAcentral
AAGGUUUUAAGUUAAUCAAACUGUAAGCCUUCAAAGCUUAAAAUAAAGACAUAUCUUUAAACCUUGCCCACC